This is a long non-coding RNA of Mastomys coucha (southern multimammate mouse), 336 nucleotides long. RefSeq lists it as uncharacterized. The record is from RefSeq and is a predicted model, not a curated record. The transcript has 2 exons. NCBI's taxonomy places the organism in Eukaryota, Metazoa, Chordata, Mammalia, Rodentia, Muridae.
AAACACGCCUGCGUGAGUGGCGUCACGGCUGACCAAUAAGAAGCCAGUCCUGAGCCCGUGGCGCCAAACCGGUCCUAGGUAUUUGUAGUGGAGAGAUCUCCUUCCUAGUGGGUGGGAAUUUGACUUCAGCUACGUUCUCGCACAAGAUAGCGUUAGGAUGAUAUGGAUGCAACUGUGCUAAACAGUACUAAAGCCCUAGAACAUUCUAGGAUGGAGCUGAAAUUGAAUUUCAAGGAAGAACAGAAAGAAGUGAUCAACAAAGGAACAGCGAGCCAAAAGGUCGGGCUUCCGCUCUGCUCAGUCACUGUCCUUCUACACCAAAGAACAUCUGGAAAA